RNAcentral lists this ribosomal RNA (490 nucleotides) under uncultured bacterium. RNAcentral's name for it is "partial 16S ribosomal RNA". It matches the Rfam family "Bacterial small subunit ribosomal RNA", at positions 30 to 507 of the family's 1533-position model. The record is from RNAcentral.
AUUGAACGCUGGCGGCAUGCUUUACACAUGCAAGUCGGACGGCAGCACCGAGCAUCUUGCUUCUUGUGUGGCGAGUGGCGAACGGGUGAGUAACAUAUCGGAACGUACCGAGCAGUGGGGGAUAACUAAUCGAAAGAUUAGCUACUACCGCAUAUUUUCUGAGGAAGAAAGCAGGGGACCUUUUGUCCUUGCGCUGUUUGAGCGGCCGAUAUCUGAUUAGAUGGUUGGUGGGGUAAAGUCCUACCAAGGCGACGAUCAGUAGCGGGUCUGAGAGGAUGAUCGGCCACACUGGGACGGAGACACGGACAAGAGUCCUACGGGAGGCAGCAGUGGGGAAUGUUGGACAAUGGGCGGAAGCCUGAUCCAGCGAGGCGGAGUGUCUGAAGAAGGCCUUCGGGUUGUAAAGGACUUUUGUCAGGGAAGAAAAGGGCGGGGUUAAUACCACUGGCUGAUGACGGUACCUGAAGAAUAAGCACCGGCUAACUACGUG